UGUGAUUGAGGAUGGUUACCUGUCA
RNAcentral lists this non-coding RNA (25 nucleotides) under Rattus norvegicus (Norway rat). Lineage: Eukaryota; Metazoa; Chordata; Mammalia; Rodentia; Muridae. The record is from RNAcentral.